GAUGAACGCUAGCGGGAGGCUUAACACAUGCAAGUCGAGGGGCAGCAUAGGGUAGCAAUACUCUGAUGGCGACCGGCAAACGGGUGAGUAACGCGUAUGCAACCUACCCUGUACAGGGGGAUAACCCGGAGAAAUUCGGACUAAUAUCCCGUAAUAAUAUCCGGAGGCAUCUUUGGAUAUUUAAAGUUUCGACGGUACGGGAUGGGCAUGCGUAACAUUAGCUGGUUGGUAAGGUAACGGCUUACCAAGGCUAUGAUGUUUAGGGGUCCUGAGAGGGUGGUCCCCCACACUGGUACUGAGACACGGACCAGACUCCUACGGGAGGCAGCAGUGAGGAAUAUUGGUCAAUGGGCGCAAGCCUGAACCAGCCAUCCCGCGUGCAGGAAGACGGCCCUAUGGGUUGUAAACUGCUUUUCCAGGGAGAGAAACUUACGCACGUGUUGCGUGACUGACGGUACCCUGGGAAUAAGCAUCGGCUAACUCCGUGCCAGCAGCCGCGGUAAGAUCACGUG
Molecule: ribosomal RNA, 512 nt
Filed under: uncultured bacterium
Lineage: Bacteria
Description: bacterial SSU rRNA
Rfam family: Bacterial small subunit ribosomal RNA
Source: RNAcentral